CGCAUCUGUGCAUGCAGCAUAUCAAUAAGCGGAGGAAAAGAAACUAACAAGGAUUCCCUUAGUAACGGCGAGUGAAGCUGGGAAGAGCUCAAAUUUGAAAUCUUCAAGGUUUUACCUUGACGAAUUGUAGUUUAAAGAAGUGUUUUCUGUUGAAGUUUUGGUAAAAUUUCUUUGGAAUAGGACAUCAUAGAGGAUGAGAAUCCCGUAUUUGACCAUUAUUUUCAGCUGUGUGAUACACUUUCAAAGAGUCGGAUUGUUUGGGAAUGCAGUCCAAAAUGGGUGGUAAAUUUCAUCUAAAGCUAAAUAUUGGCGAGAGACCGAUAGCGAACAAGUACCGUGAGGGAAAGAUGAAAAGAACUUUGAAAAGAGAGUUAAACAGUACGUGAAAUUGUCAAAAGGGAAGCGUUUGACACCAGUGUUGUUUUCUCGAAAAUCAAUUAAAAAGAGUUUGAUUUUGUUGUGUAUUGACCUUAACAGCUUGCAUUUCAAUUUCCUUGCUUUUUUUAAUGCACUUUUCGUUUAACAAGUCAACAUCAGUUUCUUUUGUUGUAAAAAGGUCAUUGGAAGGUGGCUUUCUUUUCGGAGAAAGUGUUUAUAGCCCUUGACUCCUGCAAUCGGAGAGACUGAGGUCUGCAGCGUAGAUCCUUCGGGGUUAGAUACAUUUGUGCUAAGUUAUAGCUUUUUAUAGACAACUUGUUGACUAUGAUUAGUCUUGUAGCUUACUCGCUUAUGCUAUUUUACCUACGCUUAGGAUGUUGAUGUGAUACUGCGAGC
This 774-nucleotide ribosomal RNA is filed under the name uncultured Neocallimastigales. RNAcentral describes it as "partial large subunit ribosomal RNA". It matches the Rfam family "Eukaryotic large subunit ribosomal RNA", at positions 26 to 645 of the family's 3401-position model. The record is from RNAcentral. Lineage: Eukaryota; Fungi; Neocallimastigomycota; Neocallimastigomycetes; Neocallimastigales.